AGCCCCACCACCAAAGCAUUCUCUGGUGUUGAAGGCCCUGCAAAGCAGCAUCGCGGUGGCGGAGCGUCGUUUGCGACGCCCAACACACAAAACAAGCGGUGAGUGCUUUGGGGUGGGGUGACUGCGUACCUUUUGUAUAAUGGGUCAGCGACUUAUAUUCUGUAGCAAGGUUAACCGAAUAGGGGAGCCGGAGGGAAACCGAGUCUUAAUUGGGCGUUAAGUUGCAGGGUAUAGACCCGAAACCCGGUGAUCUAGCCAUGGGCAGGUUGAAGGUUGGGUAACACUAACUGGAGGACCGAACCGACUAAUGUUGAAAAAUUAGCGGAUGACCUGUGGCUGGGGGUGAAAGGCCAAUCAAACCGGGAGAUAGCUGGUUCUCCCCGAAAGCUAUUUAGGUAGCGCCUCGUGAAUUCAUCUCCGGGGGUAGAGCACUGUUUCGGCUAGGGGGCCAUCCCGGCUUACCAACCCGAUGCAAACUGCGAAUACCGGAGAAUGUUAUCACGGGAGACACACGGCGGGUGCUAACGUCCGUCGUGAAGAGGGAAACAACCCAGACCGCCAGCUAAGGUCCCAAAGUCAUGGUUAAGUGGGAAACGAUGUGGGAAGGCCCAGACAGCCAGGAUGUUGGCUUAGAAGCAGCCAUCAUUUAAAGAAAGCGUAAUAGCUCACUGGUCGAGUCGGCCUGCGCGGAAGAUGUAACGGGGCUAAACCAU
This 713-nucleotide ribosomal RNA is filed under the name Salmonella enterica subsp. enterica serovar Infantis. RNAcentral's name for it is "partial 23S ribosomal RNA". The stretch from base 92 to 713 matches the Rfam family "Bacterial large subunit ribosomal RNA", at positions 566 to 1190 of the family's 2925-position model. RNAcentral also lists the same sequence under 1 other name. The record is from RNAcentral. Lineage: Bacteria; Pseudomonadati; Pseudomonadota; Gammaproteobacteria; Enterobacterales; Enterobacteriaceae.